RNAcentral lists this ribosomal RNA (484 nucleotides) under uncultured bacterium. RNAcentral describes it as "partial 16S ribosomal RNA". It matches the Rfam family "Bacterial small subunit ribosomal RNA", at positions 30 to 507 of the family's 1533-position model. The record is from RNAcentral.
AUUGAACGCUGGCGGCAGGCCUAACACAUGCAAGUCGAGCGGAUGCAGGGAGCUUGCUCCUGGAUUCAGCGGCGGACGGGUGAGUAAUGCCUAGGAAUCUGCCUGGUAGUGGGGGAUAACGUCCGGAACCGGGCGCUAAUACCGCAUACGUGCUGAGGGUGCAAGUGGGAGAUCUUCGCACCUCACGCUAUCAGAUGAGCCUAGGUCGGAUUAGCUAGUUGGUGGGGUAAAGGCCUACCAAGGCGACGAUCCGUAACUGGUCUGAGAGGAUGAUCAGUCACACUGGAACUGAGACACGGUCCAGACUCCUACGGGAGGCAGCAGUGGGGAAUAUUGGACAAUGGGCGGAAGCCUGAUCCAGCCAUGCCGCGUGUGUGAAGAAGGUCUUCGGAUUGUAAAGCACUUUAAGUUGGGAGGAAGGGCAGUAAGUUAAUACCUUGCUGUUUUGACGUUACCAACAGAAUAAGCACCGGCUAACUUCGUG